CCCAGUAGCUCAGCGGUAGAGCGAUCGGCUGUUAACCGGUUAGCCGCAGGUUCGAAUCCUGCCUGGGGAGUUGCCA
Molecule: transfer RNA, 76 nt
Filed under: Cyanobacteria bacterium QS_8_64_29
Lineage: Bacteria; Bacillati; Cyanobacteriota
Description: tRNA-Asn
Rfam family: tRNA
About the family: Transfer RNA (tRNA) molecules are approximately 80 nucleotides in length. Their secondary structure includes four short double-helical elements and three loops (D, anti-codon, and T loops). Further hydrogen bonds mediate the characteristic L-shaped molecular structure. tRNAs have two regions of fundamental functional importance: the anti-codon, which is responsible for specific mRNA codon recognition, and the 3' end, to which the tRNAs corresponding amino acid is attached (by aminoacyl-tRNA synthetases). tRNAs cope with the degeneracy of the genetic code in two manners: having more than one tRNA (with a specific anti-codon) for a particular amino acid; and 'wobble' base-pairing, i.e. permitting non-standard base-pairing at the 3rd anti-codon position.
Source: RNAcentral